CAAUUCUUGUCGGAGUGCCUAGCGCAGACUUUCCUUAAGGGAAAAUUUGCCAGGCUGAGACCGUUAAUUCGGGAUCCGCGGAACCUGAUCGGGUUAGUACCCGCGAAGGGAACAAGAGUAAUUUAUUG
This 128-nucleotide non-coding RNA is filed under the name Serratia sp. (in: enterobacteria). RNAcentral's name for it is "Serratia sp. TPP sequence". It matches the Rfam family "TPP riboswitch aptamer (THI element)". Rfam says of the family: Vitamin B(1) in its active form thiamin pyrophosphate (TPP) is an essential coenzyme that is synthesised by coupling of pyrimidine and thiazole moieties in bacteria. The previously detected thiamin-regulatory element, thi box was extended, resulting in a new, highly conserved RNA secondary structure, the THI element, which is widely distributed in eubacteria and also occurs in some archaea. Analysis of operon structures identified a large number of new candidate thiamin-regulated genes, mostly transporters, in various prokaryotic organisms. Lineage: Bacteria; Pseudomonadati; Pseudomonadota; Gammaproteobacteria; Enterobacterales; Yersiniaceae. The record is from RNAcentral.